UCCCUGGUGGUCUAGUGGCUAACAUUCUGUGCUCCCAACGCAGGGGGCCCAGGUUUGAUCCCUGGUCAAGGAA
Molecule: non-coding RNA, 73 nt
Organism: Bos taurus (domestic cattle)
Lineage: Eukaryota; Metazoa; Chordata; Mammalia; Artiodactyla; Bovidae
Source: Rfam